Molecule: ribosomal RNA, 468 nt
Filed under: uncultured bacterium
Lineage: Bacteria
Description: partial 16S ribosomal RNA
Rfam family: Bacterial small subunit ribosomal RNA
Source: RNAcentral
GACGAACGCUGGCGGCGUGCUUAACACAUGCAAGUCGAACGGAAAGGCCCUGCUUUUGUGGGGUGCUCGAGUGGCGAACGGGUGAGUAACACGUGAGUAACCUGCCCUUGACUUUGGGAUAACUUCAGGAAACUGGGGCUAAUACCGGAUAGGAGCUCCUGCUGCAUGGCGGGGGGUGGAAAGUUUCGGCGGUUGGGGAUGGACUCGCGGCUUAUCAGCUUGUGGGUGGGGUAGUGGCUUGCCAAGGCUUUGACGGGUAGCCGGCCUGAGAGGGUGACCGGCCACCUUGGGACUGAGCUACGGGCCAGACUCCUGCGGGAGGCAGCAGUGGGGAAUAGUGCACGAUGGGCGGAAGCCUGAUGCAGCAACGCCGCGUGCGGGAUGACGGCCUUCGGGUUGUAAACCGCUUUCGCCUGUGACGAAGCGUGAGUGACGGUAAUGGGUAAAGAAGCACCGGCUAACUACGUG